This 1377-nucleotide ribosomal RNA is filed under the name Triticum aestivum (bread wheat). Its description in RNAcentral is "partial small subunit ribosomal RNA". The record is from RNAcentral. Lineage: Eukaryota; Viridiplantae; Streptophyta; Magnoliopsida; Poales; Poaceae.
AUGGCCUCCCUCCCAUACACCGCCGUCGCCUGCGCCUCCGUCAGAGCCGACCCCGCCCCGGGACUCCUCAACUACGCAGCCGUCCACUCCUGCCUCCUACGCGCCGACCGCCGCCUCUCCCUCCCCAUCCUCGCGCUCCUCCUCCUCCUCCACUUCCGCUUCCUCGCCGUGGCCGCGGGGGCCCACUUCUCCCCCGCCGUCUCCCGCCUCGCGUCCCGCCUCCGUCUCUCCCCUUCCAUGGCCGCCGUUACGCUCCUCGCGCUCGGAAACGGCGCCCCAGAUGCGUUCGCUUCCGCCGCCGCGCUACGCGGCGAGGGCGGGCUGCCCCGGGCCGGGCUGGCCGCCAUCCUCUCCGCGGGCGCCUUCGUGUCCGCGUUCGUCGUCGGCGCCGUUUCCCUUAUCGCCGCGCCCUUCGCUGUCCCGCCGGCUUCAUUCACGCGCGACGUCUUCUUAUACCUCGUCGCCGCGUCGGCGCUUUUCUACAUCUACCUCAGCGCCGAGAUAUUCCUGUGGCAGGCCGUCGGGCUCGUGCUCUUCUAUGUCUUCUUCGUCGGCUUAGUGUUUUAUAUGGAUUUGGGCGCGGCGGGAAAGGCAGUCAGCUCUGCCGAGCCGGAGACGACAGCGAAUGGCAUGGGCCGCGCGGCGAUGGACUUGCCAGUCUCAGUGGAGCAUCAGAAGCAACGCAAAGCUAGUUUGUGGACGGUGCUCACCAAGCAGGUAACAAGAGUUUGGGAUUGGCCUGUGACAUUUCUUUUGAAGCUCACGAUACCGUCAACGCUUCCUUCUGAAUGGAACAAAUUUUACAUCUGUGCGAACAUCUGUCUAUGCCCUCUCAUACUGCUAUAUUCUUUUAGCUCAUUCAUUCCGUUGGAUAGCCGAAUAGUAUUUCUUCUCCCUCAAAUCCGCUUCCCCCUCUGGUCUGUUGUUCUUCUGGUUAGCUUUUGUUUGGCUCUAUCCCACUUCCGCUUUGAGAAAGAAUCACCAGAAACAGAGAACAUUGCAAGUACCCUCAUAUCGUUUGUAAUGAGCGUCUUCUGGAUCUCAACCAUGGCCGGAGAGCUCCUGAAUUGCCUGGCAGCAAUUGGAGUUAUUAUGGAUCUCCCUCCAGCUAUACUUGGCAUGACAGUCUUGGCAUGGGGGAAUUCUGUCGGUGAUCUUGUUGCUGAUGUGGCAUUGGCCAAGAACGGUCAACCUACAAUCGCCAUUGCUGGCUGUUUUGCUGGCCCAAUGUUCAACAUGCUUGUUGGAUUAGGAACUGCCCUAGUGAUGCAGACGGCAGGAGUGUAUCCCAAAGCCUUUGUACUUGAAUUCCAUGUUGGAAUUGUUGUUGCAUUUGUGUUUCUUCUUCUGAGCUUGAUGGCAACCCUGUGGUGGUAA